This 368-nucleotide ribosomal RNA is filed under the name uncultured Pseudomonas sp. Its description in RNAcentral is "bacterial SSU rRNA". It matches the Rfam family "Bacterial small subunit ribosomal RNA", at positions 1017 to 1382 of the family's 1533-position model. Lineage: Bacteria; Pseudomonadati; Pseudomonadota; Gammaproteobacteria; Pseudomonadales; Pseudomonadaceae. The record is from RNAcentral.
CCUUCGGGAACUCUGACACAGGUGCUGCAUGGCUGUCGUCAGCUCGUGUCGUGAGAUGUUGGGUUAAGUCCCGUAACGAGCGCAACCCUUGUCCUUAGUUACCAGCACGUUAUGGUGGGCACUCUAAGGAGACUGCCGGUGGACAAACCGGAGGAAGGUGGGGAGUGACGUCAAGUCAUCAUGGCCCUUACGGCCUGGGCUACACACGUGCUACAAUGGUCGGUACAAAGGGUUGCCAAGCCGCGAGGUGGAGCUAAUCCCAUAAAACCGAUCGUAGUCCGGAUCGCAGUCUGCAACUCGACUGCGUGAAGUCGGAAUCGCUAGUAAUCGUGAAUCAGAAUGUCACGGUGAAUACGUUCCCGGGCCUU